This 75-nucleotide transfer RNA is filed under the name Thermodesulfovibrionia bacterium. RNAcentral's name for it is "tRNA-Val". It matches the Rfam family "tRNA". From Rfam's summary of the family: Transfer RNA (tRNA) molecules are approximately 80 nucleotides in length. Their secondary structure includes four short double-helical elements and three loops (D, anti-codon, and T loops). Further hydrogen bonds mediate the characteristic L-shaped molecular structure. tRNAs have two regions of fundamental functional importance: the anti-codon, which is responsible for specific mRNA codon recognition, and the 3' end, to which the tRNAs corresponding amino acid is attached (by aminoacyl-tRNA synthetases). tRNAs cope with the degeneracy of the genetic code in two manners: having more than one tRNA (with a specific anti-codon) for a particular amino acid; and 'wobble' base-pairing, i.e. permitting non-standard base-pairing at the 3rd anti-codon position. The record is from RNAcentral. Lineage: Bacteria; Pseudomonadati; Nitrospirota; Thermodesulfovibrionia.
GGGCGAUUAGCUCAGUGGGAGAGCGUCCCGUUCACAUCGGGAAGGUCGUAGGUUCAAUCCCUACAUCGCCUACCA